CAUACUUAGUGGCAGACGGGUGAGUAACAUGUGGGUAUCUUCCCUAUGGUGAGGAAUAACACGAGGAAACUUGUGCUAAUACCUCAUAAGUCUUUACGGAGAAAGCUUUAUGCGCCAUUGGAUGAGCCCGCACUUGAUUAGUUUGUUGGUAGGGUAACGGCCUACCAAGACUGUGAUCAAUAGCUGAUUUGAGAGGAUGAUCAGCCACAUUGGGACUGAGACACGGCCCAAACUCCUACGGGAGGCAGCAGUAAGGAAUCUUGCACAAUGGAGGAAACUCUGAUGCAGCGAUGCCGCGUGAGUGAAGAAGGCCCUUGGGUUGUAAAGCUCUUUCGUCGGGGAAGAAAAUGACUGUACCCGAAUAAGAAGGUCCGGCUAACUUCGUGCCAGCAGCCGCGGUAAUACGAAGGGACCUAGCGUAGUUCGGAAUUACUGGGCUUAAAGAGUUCGUAGGUGGUUAAAAAAGUUGGUGGUGAAAUCCCAGAGCUUAACUCUGGAACUGCCAUCAAAACUUUUUAGCUAGAGUAUGAUAGAGGAAAGCAGAAUUUCUAGUGUAGAGGUGAAAUUCGUAGAUAUUAGAAAGAAUACCAAUUGCGAAGGCAGCUUUCUGGAUCAUUACUGACACUGAGGAACGAAAGCAUGGGUAGCGAAGAGGAUUAGAUACCCUCGUAGUCCAUGCCGUAAACGAUGUGUGUUAGACGUUGGAAAUUUAUUUUCAGUGUCGCAGCGAAAGCGAUAAACACACCGCCUGGGGAGUACGACCGCAAGGUUAAAACUCAAAUGAAUUGACGGGACCCGCACAAGUAGUGGAGCAUGUGGUUUAAUUCGAAGAUACGCGCAGAACUUACCAACACUUGACAUGUUCGUCGCGACUUUAAGAGAUUAAAGUUUUCGGUUCGGCCGGACGAAACACAGGUGCUGCAUGGCUGUCGUCAGCUCGUGUCGUGAGAUGUUGGGUUAAGUCC
RNAcentral lists this ribosomal RNA (965 nucleotides) under marine metagenome. RNAcentral describes it as "bacterial SSU rRNA". It matches the Rfam family "Bacterial small subunit ribosomal RNA", at positions 87 to 1087 of the family's 1533-position model. The record is from RNAcentral.